CAGUCGCCGCGGUAAGACAGAGGAUGCAAGCGUUAUCCGGAAUGAUUGGGCGUAAAGGGCUCGCAGGCGGUUUCUUAAGUCUGAUGUGAAAGCCCCCGGCUCAACCGGGGAGGGUCAUUGGAAACUGGGAAACUUGAGCGCAGAAGAGGGGAGUGGAAUUCCACGUGUAGCGGUGAAAUGCGUAGAGAUGUGGAGGAACACCAGUGGCGAAGGCGACUCUCUGGUCUGUAACUGACGCUGAGGAGCGAAAGCGUGGGGAGCGAACAGGAUUAGAUACCCCAGUAGUCCCUGUCUCUUAUAC
Molecule: ribosomal RNA, 301 nt
Filed under: uncultured bacterium
Lineage: Bacteria
Description: partial 16S ribosomal RNA
Rfam family: Bacterial small subunit ribosomal RNA
Source: RNAcentral